ACAUAUCUGAUUUAAGAAAUACUACAUUUUCAGUAACUAAUGUGCCAUGACUACUAUUGCAUAUAUGAAAAUCUUACCGAUUUAUUACAGAUGUUUUUUCUUGCAUAGACCCAAUGUGAAAUGUUCCUCAUGAGGAAGAACCACCUGGACUUCAAAUCUCAGGCAUUAGCACUUGCCAUGGACAAGAUCAAACUUGAAGAUUAUAUUCUGAACCAGUUGGAGAAGCAGUAUGGUGGACAUUAUGGCCAGAAAGUAGAAGAGAGGCUGCUGAACUAUCUACAUAAGUUGGAGACUGUGUUACCAGGGGAUACCUACAUUGAUAAGAUACUGAAGAAAGAAAGUCCUGUCACAGAAGAGGAUAGGCUAUUGUUGGAAGUAAUUACUUCUGACUCCAUGACGAUGGCAACAACUCUAAAGAAAAUGCUGCACUGUGGUAAGAAACACCUUCCAAUUCACAACACAGAUAAUACUCAAACAUGAAGUCCACCGUAUAUUUUUGCUGUACCUUUGAAUUGGCAAUUUUAUUGAGUGAUGUAAAGUUAUAAAUGAAGAAAAUUAAACUCUCAGUGGGGGUCAUUCCAUUAUAUGAUGUGUCUCCGUAUGUAGAAAAAAAGGGACACCUGAUUUAUUACCUGCAUUAUUUCCCAUAUAGUCCCUAUUAAAAAAAAAUAAAGAGUGUUCCACGGCUUUAGAAUUGGACUUCGACAGUAUAAAAUUGUCAGACUCACAAUGGACGUUAAACUUACAUAACAUUACAAUCAAAGAUGGUGUCAUGGGACCAGAUAUAGCAUCUUUAAAAAAUAUAUAUAUAUUCUGUUCCUGUGGCACAGAUCGACUUAAUUUUUCGAGUGUGUAGGUCUGGUGGAAUACACACAAAGUGAAUGACAGGACCGUAGAGUACAUGCCCAAGUUGCAUAUAUGGAGCUGUUUCAAACAAGAUUAUGCCACCCUUGCUCAAAACACGUCGUACUUUUAGCAAAUCAUGUCAUUAAUCUAACAUUUUAUGAAAUUUGCUGUGACUGUGUGUGCCCUUAUAUGUUACACCGUGUUUGCAUAAAUGGCAACAGAAGAUUGAAUGCACAUUAAGCCAAUAUUGCAUUUUUUCAUAAAUGAUAGAACUACUUUAAUGGAAAAGUAUUGUGAGAUAACUUUUGUUGUGAAUUGUUUAAAUAAAAAUGACGUGACUUUUUCUGAUGAUAAUAGUCAAUUAUUCAAUAAAAAUGCACUGCCUUCUUGUUCCUAGAUGUUGCCUCCCACAGUCUAGACAAUAUUUCUGUUUCUGCAUCAU
Molecule: long non-coding RNA, 1288 nt
Filed under: Sparus aurata (gilthead seabream)
Lineage: Eukaryota; Metazoa; Chordata; Actinopteri; Spariformes; Sparidae
Description: lncRNA (ENSSAUG00010004161.1)
Source: RNAcentral